RNAcentral lists this ribosomal RNA (216 nucleotides) under Glomeromycotina sp. Its description in RNAcentral is "partial small subunit ribosomal RNA". The stretch from base 40 to 216 matches the Rfam family "Eukaryotic small subunit ribosomal RNA", at positions 686 to 864 of the family's 1831-position model. The record is from RNAcentral. Lineage: Eukaryota; Fungi; Glomeromycota.
GGGUCAGUAGGUUGGUCGUGCCACCGGUACGUACUGGUCUCACUGAUUCCUCCUUCCUGAAGAACCGUAAUGCCAUUAAUUUGGUGUUGCGGGGAAACAGGACUGUUACUUUGGAAAAAUUAGAGUGUUUAAAGCAAGCUAACGCUUGAAUACAUUAGCAUGGAAUAAUGAAAUAGGACGAUCGAUCCUAUUUUGUUGGUUCCUAGGAUUGACGUA